This 535-nucleotide ribosomal RNA is filed under the name uncultured bacterium. Its description in RNAcentral is "bacterial SSU rRNA". It matches the Rfam family "Bacterial small subunit ribosomal RNA", at positions 8 to 521 of the family's 1533-position model. The record is from RNAcentral.
AGAGUUUGAUCCUGGCUCAGGACGAACGCUGGCGGCGUGCCUAAUACAUGCAAGUCGAGCGGACCGGAUUGGGGCUUGCCUUGAUUCGGUCAGCGGCGGACGGGUGAGUAACACGUGGGCAACCUGCCCGCAAGACCGGGAUAACUCCGGGAAACCGGAGCUAAUACCGGAUAACACCGAAGACCGCAUGGUCUUUGGUUGAAAGGCGGCCUUUGGGCUGUCACUUGCGGAUGGGCCCGCGGCGCAUUAGCUAGUUGGUGAGGUAACGGCUCACCAAGGCGACGAUGCGUAGCCGGCCUGAGAGGGUGACCGGCCACACUGGGACUGAGACACGGCCCAGACUCCUACGGGAGGCAGCAGUAGGGAAUCUUCCGCAAUGGGCGAAAGCCUGACGGAGCGACGCCGCGUGAGCGAAGAAGGCCUUCGGGUCGUAAAGCUCUGUUGUGAGGGACGAAGGAGCGCCGUUCGAAGAGGGCGGCGCGGUGACGGUACCUCACGAGAAAGCCCCGGCUAACUACGUGCCAGCAGCCGCGGU